CGCGCGCGAGCCCUCCUCCUCGCGCCAGGGGAUGGCAAAUAGCGUGACCGUUUCCGCGAUCCACGUCACGAUGUCGGGAUUAGAGAAGAUCUGAAACUCCGAUCAGCGAUCAGACGGUUAGAUUGGAUCUGACGAUUCCGAAAACGAUUCCAACAAUGAGCAAAACCAGCAAAGCACAACUUCCAAAGGACACAACCACAGCGACCAGCACCGUCCAGUCAGGAGGAACUGCAAAGGAGAUGCUGCUGAUUCUCUCAGGUUCAUCUGACGGCGCCGGCUCCUGUCAGAAACCCAUUCCUGUUCUACGUCUUCUGGUUAAAUUCAGUGGUUUUGAAAUCCCUGCACUUGGUUUUUGUGUCACUGCUGAAGCGGAAAAAGGACCUCAUGACACUCAGGUGAAUGUGUUCAUCAUGAUUCCCUCUGUCAAAGAACCUCUAUAAGACCACCUUUAAAGUGAGAUCACCCAAGCAGGACAAAUAGUCCAAGUCUGGAACCACUUUUAGUUUUUGCCCUAAAGCUGUUCUUCAUGUCAAGCAGUUCCAAAGUAUUCCACAGUUUCCAGUCUGAUUCUCAUCAGUCUCGUCUUUAGUCUCAAAUUAAAAUAGGCAGAGUUUUAAUGUCUCAGCAGAAUCCAGAAACACCAAUUUAUGUUCUAGAACCUCAGCAUUCUGCUCUUCAGGCUAGAACUUCUUCCAGCUGGAGAACAAAUUCACCAACAUGGUUUCUGCUGGUCCCUGGUCCCCUACAAGACCCCCCCCCCCCAUUGGUCUGUUCCACACACCUACAGUCAUGUACCUGUCAGCAACAUUCAACAUUUAUUUGAUGUCCUUUUAUAAAGAAUCCCAAUAUCAUUUGUGUUUUAAAUAAUUAGAAGUAAAAAAGUUCUACAUUAGAUUAGAUCCAACUUGUCUAUAAAACUGACGGUAUGGUGGUGGGGAGGGGGCUACACAGAAAAGAAAACAGCAUCAUUUUUACAGUUAAAAAGGAGGAAAAUGUCUUUUUCAACCUUGAUAUUCCAUAACUUCUUGAAAACAUGAAAACCAAAGAAGCAAAAGAAACAAACAAACAAACAUGAGUCCUGAUGUGGAGGGGAGCGGAUAAACUGGGGGGUUUUUCCCGUCAUGAAAACGUUCUCACCAACGGUCAGGAAGACGGCGUCUGACAGGGGCUCCUGGAGGGUUGAAAUGGAGGCCAAACAUUUGAUGGUGGUGCUGCUGGAUGCGGAGAAGCUCAGGAUGCUGGUGGAGUUGUAGACCCCCCCAGAAAUGGAGCUGCUGGUGUUGAACAGACUGCUAUCCACAGCCUGCCCAUUCUCGCUCCAGCUGAUUGAAGGUGCGGGAUACCAGCCAGCCGCCACGCACUGAAACCGGACCUGCUGGACCUGGUUGACGGUUUGGUUCCCUCCAAGGAUGCGCAGAGUGCCGCUCUCUGACAAAACCACAGGUUUAGUUUUAUGACACAAUAAAACAGAAUAUCCACCAAAACUGCGUCAAAAACGUUCAGAUUGAUUACAUUUUUUAUCUUUAUCUUUGACAGGGACCCCGUCUGUUAGCUUGAUGGCGUCUGGACACGACAUUGGUUCCAUUUGAAAUGGUCACAAUGGUUUUUGUCCCCUCCCGUUUAAAUAAAUCAUAAUAAUAAGUUGUGGGCGGAGCUUCUGGAGUGAGCCGGCUUUUUUAUUCUCAUUAGUGGUGCAACAAAAACAGCAAUCAGUGUUGUUGCUGACCAGUCGUACAGUUUUAUCCAGAUGCAGGUCAGACACGGAAAUAUUUGUCUGUGAGUGGAUCCGUCACAAAGGGGCGGAGCAGGGAGACUGUGGCUCCACCCACUAGAUUUUAUGUUACAAAGAGUUUUCUUUGGAGUGGGUCUUUACAUAUUGUUUGUGUAAAAUACUUUUAUGAUGUAUUUAAUAAAAUGUUUUAAUGUUUCA
This is a long non-coding RNA of Oryzias melastigma (Indian medaka), 1930 nucleotides long. RefSeq lists it as uncharacterized. The transcript is spliced from 2 exons. The record is from RefSeq and is a predicted model, not a curated record. NCBI's taxonomy places the organism in Eukaryota, Metazoa, Chordata, Actinopteri, Beloniformes, Adrianichthyidae.